GCGAACGCUGGCGGCAGGCUUAACACAUGCAAGUCGCGCGCCCCGCAAGGGGAGCGGCAGACGGGAGAGUAACACGUGGGAACAUACCUUUUGGUUCGGAACAACCGAGGGAAACUUCAGCUAAUACCGGAUAAGCCCUUACGGGGAAAGAUUUAUCGCCGAAAGAUUGGCCCGCGUCUGAUUAGCUAGUUGGUGAGGUAACGGCUCACCAAGGCGACGAUCAGUAGCUGGUCUGAGAGGAUGAUCAGCCUCACUGGGACUGAGACACGGCCCAGACUCCUACGGGAGGCAGCAGUGGGGAAUAUUGGACAAUGGGGGCAACCCUGAUCCAGCCAUGCCGCGUGAGUGAUGAAGGCCUUAGGGUUGUAAAGCUCUUUUGCCCGGGAAGAUAAUGACGGUACCGGGAGAAUAAGCCCCGGCUAACUUCGUG
This 430-nucleotide ribosomal RNA is filed under the name uncultured bacterium. Its description in RNAcentral is "partial 16S ribosomal RNA". It matches the Rfam family "Bacterial small subunit ribosomal RNA", at positions 29 to 507 of the family's 1533-position model. The record is from RNAcentral.